This 89-nucleotide transfer RNA is filed under the name Chitinophagales bacterium. RNAcentral's name for it is "tRNA-Ser". It matches the Rfam family "tRNA". From Rfam's summary of the family: Transfer RNA (tRNA) molecules are approximately 80 nucleotides in length. The record is from RNAcentral. Lineage: Bacteria; Pseudomonadati; Bacteroidota; Chitinophagia; Chitinophagales.
GGAGAGAUGGCAGAGUGGUCUAAUGCGGCAGACUCGAAAUCUGUUGUCCUGCGUUUGCGGGACCGAGGGUUCGAAUCCCUCUCUCUCCG